RNAcentral lists this unclassified non-coding RNA (203 nucleotides) under uncultured fungus. Its description in RNAcentral is "sequence contains ITS1". The record is from RNAcentral. Lineage: Eukaryota; Fungi.
GUUUAUAUUUUAAAGCCUUUCGGCCAAUGAACAUUCGAUAGACUUGAGUUUGUAUAGAUAGAGAAAAUGCGCUUUCACGCCUUUUCUCUCAAUGUGCACAGGGGUUUAAAUGGAUUUAAGGGAUAGCGUGCACAAUCCUCGUGAAAGGCGGCACAGAAAUCCCAGGUUCAAUAAUGAUCCUUCCGCAGGUUCACCUACGGAAA